This 481-nucleotide ribosomal RNA is filed under the name uncultured bacterium. RNAcentral's name for it is "bacterial SSU rRNA". It matches the Rfam family "Bacterial small subunit ribosomal RNA", at positions 26 to 507 of the family's 1533-position model. The record is from RNAcentral.
GAUCAGUGGCUCGAGGACGAACGCUGGCGGCGUGCUUAACACAUGCAAGUCGAACGGAAAGGCCCUGCUUUUGUGGGGUGCUCGAGUGGCGAACGGGUGAGUAACACGUGAGUAACCUGCCCUUGACUUUGGGAUAACUUCAGGAAACUGGGGCUAAUACCGGAUAGGAGCUCCUGCUGCAUGGUGGGGUUGGAAAGUUUCGGCGGUUGGGGAUGGACUCGCGGCUUAUCAGCUUGUUGGUGGGGUAGUGGCUUACCAAGGCUUUGACGGUAGCCGGCCUGAGAGGGUGACCGGCCACAUUGGGACUGAGAUACGGCCCAGACUCCUACGGGAGGCAGCAGUGGGGAAUAUUGCACAAUGGGCGGAAGCCUGAUGCAGCAACGCCGCGUGCGGGAUGACGGCCUUCGGGUUGUAAACCGCUUUCGCCUGUGACGAAGCGUGAGUGACGGUAAUGGGUAGAGAAGCACCGGCUGACUACGUG